GCUUCCGUGGUGCAGUGGUAGUACGAGUCUCCGGUAAGGUAGAACACGGGUUCGACUCCCGCCUGAGACG
Non-coding RNA from Parelaphostrongylus tenuis, 70 nucleotides. NCBI's taxonomy places the organism in Eukaryota, Metazoa, Nematoda, Chromadorea, Rhabditida, Metastrongylidae. The record is from the annotation of a GenBank genome assembly.